This 254-nucleotide ribosomal RNA is filed under the name uncultured bacterium. RNAcentral describes it as "partial 16S ribosomal RNA". It matches the Rfam family "Bacterial small subunit ribosomal RNA", at positions 524 to 776 of the family's 1533-position model. The record is from RNAcentral.
UACGUAGGGUGCGAGCGUUGUCCGGAAUUAUUGGGCGUAAAGAGCUCGUAGGCGGUGUGUCACGUCGGCCGUGAAAACCUGCAGCUUAACUGUGGGCGUGCGGUCGAUACGGGCAUCACUGGAGUUCGGCAGGGGAGACUGGAAUUCCUGGUGUAGCGGUGAAAUGCGCAGAUAUCAGGAGGAACACCGGUGGCGAAGGCGGGUCUCUGGGCCGAUACUGGAGCUGGGGAACGGAAGCGUGGGGAGCAAACAGG